This 293-nucleotide ribosomal RNA is filed under the name uncultured Mesoplasma sp. RNAcentral describes it as "partial 16S ribosomal RNA". It matches the Rfam family "Bacterial small subunit ribosomal RNA", at positions 505 to 802 of the family's 1533-position model. The record is from RNAcentral. Lineage: Bacteria; Bacillati; Mycoplasmatota; Mollicutes; Entomoplasmatales; Entomoplasmataceae.
GUGCCAGCAGCUGCGGUAAUACAUAGGUGGCAAGCGUUAUCCGGAUUUAUUGGGCGUAUAGGGUGCGUAGCGGUUUGCAGUUUGUGGUCAAAUCCCGAGGCUCAACCUCGGUUCGCCAUGGAAAACUGCAUCACUAGAAUACAAGAGAGGUAAACGGAAUUCCAUGUGUAGCGGUGAAAUGCGUAGAUAUAUGGAAGAACACCUGUGGCGAAAGCGGUUUACUGGCUUGUUAUUGACGCUGAGGCACGAAAGCGUGGGAGCAAUAGGAUUAGAUACCCUAGUAGUCCACGCCG